GGGAUUGUAGCUCAGUGGUAGAGCACUUGCCUAGCAUGCAUGAGGCACUGGGUUCAAUUCUCAGCACCA
Molecule: transfer RNA, 69 nt
Filed under: Urocitellus parryii (Arctic ground squirrel)
Lineage: Eukaryota; Metazoa; Chordata; Mammalia; Rodentia; Sciuridae
Also listed under: 1 other name
Description: Spermophilus parryii (Arctic ground squirrel) tRNA
Rfam family: tRNA
About the family: Transfer RNA (tRNA) molecules are approximately 80 nucleotides in length.
Source: Rfam by way of RNAcentral